RNAcentral lists this ribosomal RNA (253 nucleotides) under uncultured bacterium. RNAcentral's name for it is "partial 16S ribosomal RNA". It matches the Rfam family "Bacterial small subunit ribosomal RNA", at positions 524 to 776 of the family's 1533-position model. The record is from RNAcentral.
UACGUAGGGUGCAAGCGUUGUCCGGAAUUAUUGGGCGUAAAGAGCUCGUAGGCGGUCUGUCGCGUCGGCUGUGAAAACUCGGGGCUCAACUCCGAGCUUGCAGUCGAUACGGGCAGGCUAGAGUUCGGCAGGGGAGACUGGAAUUCCUGGUGUAGCGGUGAAAUGCGCAGAUAUCAGGAGGAACACCGGUGGCGAAGGCGAUCACCUGGGGUUGUUCUGACGCUGAGGAGCGAAAGCUAGGGGAGCAAACGGG